GGAGGCAUGGGUUUAGGCCACAAUGAUGGUAGUUUCAUGAUGAAUAUGGGUGGUCAUGCGCCAAUGAAUGCUGGUGUUACCAUUCCAAGAAACAUUUCUGAAAAUGGUUCUUCAAGUUACAGAAUGAUGUCUUCACCAAGGCUAAAUCCUGUAUUUUUAGGUAAUGUCCCAUAUCCGGGAUUAUCAGUCACCAGCAUGGAGGGUUUUACCGAGCGUGGGCGUAGCCGACGGGUUGAGAAUAAUGGGAACCAAGCAGAUAGCAAGAAACAGUUUCAGCUCGACUUGGAUAAAAUUAUCAGUGGGGAAGA
This 308-nucleotide unclassified non-coding RNA is filed under the name Hevea brasiliensis (rubber tree). Lineage: Eukaryota; Viridiplantae; Streptophyta; Magnoliopsida; Malpighiales; Euphorbiaceae. The record is from RNAcentral.